GCCGGGCAUGGUGGCGCGUGCCUGUAGUCCCAGCUACUCGGGAGGCUGAGGCAGAAGAAUCGCUUGAACCCAGGAGGCAGAGGUUGCAGUGAGCCGAGAUUGUGCCACUGCACUCCAGCCUGGGCAACAGAGUGAGACUCUGUCUCAG
This 148-nucleotide signal recognition particle RNA is filed under the name Pan troglodytes (chimpanzee). RNAcentral describes it as "Metazoan signal recognition particle RNA". It matches the Rfam family "Metazoan signal recognition particle RNA". From Rfam's summary of the family: The signal recognition particle (SRP) is a universally conserved ribonucleoprotein. It is involved in the co-translational targeting of proteins to membranes. The record is from Rfam by way of RNAcentral. Lineage: Eukaryota; Metazoa; Chordata; Mammalia; Primates; Hominidae.